RNAcentral lists this long non-coding RNA (1081 nucleotides) under Monodelphis domestica (gray short-tailed opossum). RNAcentral's name for it is "lncRNA (ENSMODG00000050972.1)". Lineage: Eukaryota; Metazoa; Chordata; Mammalia; Didelphimorphia; Didelphidae. The record is from RNAcentral.
AUGUUAAAGUUGGAUUCUGUUCUUGUCAUUAGGGUGGGAGAAGCAAUCUCAAACUUCAAGCAUUUUUAUAUUGCUGAUUUCAGAGCUAGUUCUGAGGGGUUGGAAGUUUUUAGGACCUCCAAGGUUAUUACAAUCAGGACUGUUCCUCAGGGCUUCUUCUCCCUUGAGACCAGAAAUGAUACUGUUCUUCAGGAUCCCUUCUCUUUUGGGACAGGAAGUGGCACUUCUUCAGUGACAAUGUUCCUCGCGGUUACUUACAUAUCUUGUGACUAAAACAGAUACAGUUUCUUCAUGUUUCUAUUCCCAUUUGACCAAAAAUUCUCCUCUCUGCUCUGGAACUGUGAUCCAGAAGUGGGGAUAAAUGGAAUUGCCAAUCAAUGGUCCUGCACACAAAAGCACCUUUAGGCAAAUUCUUUCUGCCUGUGAAAGGUUUUGAUCCUGAGCCUUGGAUCCCCAUGUUGCCAUCUGAUAAAUGGUAGUAGAAAAAACAUCCUCAAUCACAAAUCAAUCAAUACAUUUCUUAAGCACCUGCUCUGUGCCAGGCACUGUAUUAAAUGCUGGAGAUACAAAAAUAUGGGGGAAAAAAAUUCUUCCUGCUCUCAAGGAGCUUACUAUCUAACAGGAUUAGAAAAGAAGGUGGAUAGGUCAUGUAGUGAGGAUGAGUGGUACCAAUACUCCCAAGUCUUUCAUGAAUUCUUAAAAGACUGAGAAAGGUUGACACUCACAAGGUUAGAAUUAAAGGUUGGAGUAAGACCUUUUGGGCCUCAACCGAUAGAAAGAAGGCAGGAGUUGCAAUCAUGAUAUCUGACAAAGCCAAAGUACAAAUAGACCUGAUCAAAAGGGACAGGGAAGGUAAAUAUAUUCUGCUAAAAGGAAGUAUAGACAAUGAGGAAAUAUCACUAAUCAACAUGUAGGCACCAAAUGGUAUAGCAUCCAAAUUUUUAAUAGAGAAACUAGGAGAAUUGAAGGAGGAAAUAGACAGUAAAACCUUAUUAGUGGGAGACUUGAACCAACCACUAUCAAAUUUAGAUAAAUCAAAUCAAAAAAUAAAUAAGAAAGAGGUAAAAGAGGUGAAUGAAAU